Molecule: ribosomal RNA, 490 nt
Filed under: uncultured bacterium
Lineage: Bacteria
Description: partial 16S ribosomal RNA
Rfam family: Bacterial small subunit ribosomal RNA
Source: RNAcentral
AUUGAACGCUGGCGGCAGGCCUAACACAUGCAAGUCGAACGGUAACAGGAAGAAGCUUGCUUCUCUGCUGACGAGUGGCGGACGGGUGAGUAAUGUCUGGGAAACUGCCUGAUGGAGGGGGAUAACUACUGGAAACGGUAGCUAAUACCGCAUAACGUCGCAAGACCAAAGAGGGGGACCUUCGGGCCUCUUGCCAUCGGAUGUGCCCAGAUGGGAUUAGCUAGUAGGUGGGGUAACGGCUCACCUAGGCGACGAUCCCUAGCUGGUCUGAGAGGAUGACCAGCCACACUGGAACUGAGACACGGUCCAGACUCCUACGGGAGGCAGCAGUGGGGAAUAUUGCACAAUGGGCGCAAGCCUGAUGCAGCCAUGCCGCGUGUAUGAAGAAGGCCUUCGGGUUGUAAAGUACUUUCAGCGGGGAGGAAGGGAGUAAAGUUAAUACCUUUACUCAUUGACGUUACCCGCAGAAGAAGCACCGGCUAACUCCGUG